Phyllostomus discolor (pale spear-nosed bat) is the source of this 1882-nucleotide long non-coding RNA. RefSeq lists it as uncharacterized. Lineage: Eukaryota; Metazoa; Chordata; Mammalia; Chiroptera; Phyllostomidae. The transcript has 2 exons. The record is from RefSeq and is a predicted model, not a curated record.
UCUGCCCCCCUCUCCCCACACCCCCCUACCCCCGGGGUCGGGAGGCCAGACUUCCUCUUUAAUUCUUAAUAUUAGCAGUUUAUAUCUUCUCUUUUGUUCAUCAGUUUAAGCAAGGGGUUGCACUUUAAUGAUCAUUUAAAGGAACAACUUGUGGUUUCACUGACUUUUUUUCUGUUAUUUGCUCAUUUUUUAUUUUUAUUGAUUUCUGCAGUUAUCUUUAUUUCCUCCUAUUUACUUUGGGUUUAAUUUACUUUUUUUCUAGCUUCUGAAGGUAGAAGUUUAGAUUAUUGAUUUUAGACCUUUUUUCUCUGUAAGCACUGUCUGAGCUACAUUUCAUAAAUUCUGAUGUGUUAUAUUUUCUUUAACAUUUGGUUCGGAAUAUUCUCAGAUUUUUCUUGUAAUUUAAUUUUGAUCUAUGACUUUUCUAGAAAUGUGUUAAUUUCCAAACAUAUGGAGAUUUUCCAGUUGUCUUUUGGUAUUGAUUUCUCAUUUUGUUAUGGUUAGAGAACUCACUGUGUAUAAUUUUAAUCCUUUCAAAUGUCUUAUGGCCCAGAAUUAUGGUCUGUCUUGGUAAAUAAUCCUUCUGUAUUUGAAAAGAAUGUAUUCUGUUAUUUUGGGGAAUGUUCUAUAAAUGACAGGUGAAACUGGUUGAUUGUUUUUCAAGUCUUUUAUCUAUUUACUGGUCAUUUUUGUCUUUGUUCUAUGAGAGACCAUUGUUGUAAUCUCCAGUUAUAAUUACAGUUUUGUCUAUUUCUCCUUAAUUCUAUCAGAUUUGCUUCAUGUGUUUUGAAGCACUAUAAUUAUAUGCAAAUAUACUUAGGAUUGUGCUGUCUUUUUACUGAUGUGCUUAUAUUUUUUGUUAUGAAAUCUCUAUCUCUGACCAUAUUCCUUGUCCUAAAGUUGGCACUAUCCCUAACAUAAUGUUUAAAGAGUGUCAUGAUUUACUGGGGCAGGCAGGUGGUCAGAUAUUAUUGGGUCUGCUUGGUCCUCGAUGCCUGCAAGAUAUCGAGGCUUGUUUGUAAUGUUCGUUAGGGUGGGUGUAAGGUGGUCUUUACUUAAGAAUAGUCAUUUCAACUUUUUGGUUUCAUGACCCUUUAAGCUCUCUAAAAUUACUGGAGAUUCCUCCAAAAAUUAAAAUAGAACUACCAUAUGACCCAGCAAUUCCACCUCGUGAGUAUUUAUUCCAAAGAAAUAAAAAACACUAAUUCGUAAAAGAUAUAUGCACCCCUAUGUUCACUGCAUCAUUGUUUACAACAGGCAAGAUAUGGGAUUAACCUAGGAGUCCACCCACAGAUGGAUGGAUAAAGAGAAGUGUGUGUGUGUGUGUGUGUGUGUGUGUACAGACUUAUUACCCACAGUAAAAAAGGAACGGAACCUUGCCCUUUGGAGUGACAUGGAUGGGCCUAGAGGGUAUUAUGCUAAGCGCAAUAAGUCAGAGAAGGACAAAAGCUGUAUAAUUUCUCUUACAUGUAGAAUCUGAAAACGAAACGACACAAAUAAACUUGUAGAUACAGAGAACAAACUGGUGAUGACCAAAGGGGAGUGGGAUAGAAGAGGGAGCACAAAAGGUGAAGGGAUUGAGUACAAACUGCCAGUUUUAUAAAGUGAGCCACAGGGAUGUGACGUCCAGCUUAGGGAAUGUAGUCAAUAACCUCGUGAUAACUGUGUGGUGACAGAUGGCUGCUAGACUUACUGUGCUUAUCCCUGCAUAAUAUGCGUGUAUAUAUAUGUCUAACCAUGUUGUUGUACACCUGAAACUAAUACAAUAUUGUAUGUCAACUCUAAUUAAAAGAAAGUUACGAGGACUCCAAAGAACUCUUGCUUAUGUGGGUUAUGUGGAUAUUUAUUAUGUUAGAAGUUAAAACUGAGAAGUUUUAUAAUA